Molecule: long non-coding RNA, 1574 nt
Organism: Dama dama (fallow deer)
Lineage: Eukaryota; Metazoa; Chordata; Mammalia; Artiodactyla; Cervidae
Exons: 3
Source: RefSeq, a predicted model, not a curated record
AAAUGACUGCUUUAAUACUGGCGGGGGGCGGGGGACACAUAUCACAAAAUCUGAUACAGUUCAUCAAAAGACAAUUCGAAAAGCUGAAAGCAUUAUAAAAUAUAAUUACUAAAAGCAUUAUAAAAUAGUAUUAUUAUGUGAAGCAAGAAGAUAUAUUUGCAUGAAAUUUUGCAAAAAACUUCAAAUUUAAGGUUUUUGCUCGUGUUUGAAUUUGUAUCCUUGAAGUCAAUGUUGUGAAAAACAGCAGGAGUUCUGCAGAGGCUCCUGGAAAUGGGGAAUGUGGGUGGCAGCCUUCAAUUUUCUACCAAGGGGUGAUUUCAUUUCAGAACUGGGUCAGGAGUUUAAAAAAAAGUGGGAAAAAAACUUAGAAAGCAGUGCUGGCUUUCAGUGGUCACUUGUAUAAAUGUCUACAUCUUUGCAGUUUGAAUUGGUCAGUGGCAGCCUCCCCCUGAAUUCUGAGGUGGAAAAGGGAAGGCCCUUAUGUGGUGAUGCAGGUCGACCACAGCUGGGCUCGAACCCGGGGUCAGAAGUGUUUGCGACAGGACAGCCCAGACGUGUGGAGAGCCCAGACUGCAGCCGUGUGUGGGCCCUGGAGACUUGGCUUAAGCCAGGACCAGAGGACGGGGCGUGGGGGAAAUGCCAGCAGAGUCAACACAAGUCACACGUUCCCACUCAGGACUACUAGUUGCAGGUAGUCAUCGGCCCUCAGGAGAGAGAGCUGCGCACUGAGGAGCCUCUCUGGGGAGAAAACAACCAGGCUCCUGGCCCUAAACUCUCCGCCUUCAUGCUCGCGUCCCUGCGCCGGGAGUUCCUGUGGCUGAGUCCCUCAGUCGUGUCCGACUCUCUGCGACCCCGUGGCCUGCUGCCCGCCAGGAUCCUCUGUCCACAGGAUUUCCCAGUUCUACCAGUUUCUUGCUACCAACCCAUCUCCCUCCACCGUCGUGCACACACGAUCAGUCAUGUAAUCCCAUGGACUUCGGCCCGCCAGACUCCUCUGUCCAUGGAUUUUUCCAGGCAAGAAUACUGGAGUGGGUUGCCAUUUCCUUCUCCUACAAUUUUCAUCUUGUUAGUGAAAAAUCAGCAUUUAGUUUAUCUUUCUAUUACUUUUAAAAAGUUACCAUAUGCGGUCAUCUGAAUGUUUGUGUCCUCCCCAAAUUCAUCUGUUGAAGUCUUAACGCCCAACAUGACAAUUCUAGGAGGUAAGACUUUGGGGAGGCUCUGGGGUCAUGAGGGGGGCCCUCGUGGGUGGGAUUAGAGUCCUCAUCGAAGAGAGCCGACAGAACUCUCUCACCCCUUCUGGCCUGUGAGGACACGGUGAGAAGGCAUCGUCUUUGAUCCAGGAACGCGACCUCCCCAGACACUGGAUUGCGGCGCUGUGAUGGUCUUAGGCUUGCCGGCCUCCAGAACCACGAGAACUGAAUUUCUGUUUGCAGAACAACAGUCUGUGGGUUUUGUUAGAGCACCCAGAGAUGGCUAAGACGCUGUAGUAGCUGAAAUGUGUCCUACAGUGGGAUGUGGAAUCCAUCCCCUUUAUGAUGUAAAAAAGUAAAAACUGAGUGUGAUAAAUAAUUUUA